CGUAGGGUGCGAGCGUUAAUCGGAAUUACUGGGCGUAAAGUGUGCGCAGGUGGCCGCGCAAGUCGAGUGUGAAAUCCCCGAGCUUAACUUGGGAAUUGCGCUCGAAACUACGUGGCUCGAGUGUGGCAGAGGAAGGUGGAAUUCCAGGUGUAGCGGUGAAAUGCGUAGAGAUCUGGAGGAACACCGAUGGCGAAGGCAGCCUUCUGGGCCAACACUGACGCUCAUGCACGAAAGCGUGGGGAGCAAACAGGAUUAGAUACCCUGGUAGUCCACGCCCUAAACGAUGAUGACUAGUUGUUGGGGGAGUUAAAUCCCUUAGUAACGCAGCUAACGCGUGAAGUCAUCCGCCUGGGGAGUACGGUCGCAAGAUUA
This 372-nucleotide ribosomal RNA is filed under the name uncultured organism. Its description in RNAcentral is "bacterial SSU rRNA". It matches the Rfam family "Bacterial small subunit ribosomal RNA", at positions 526 to 896 of the family's 1533-position model. The record is from RNAcentral.